CGGAGGGGCCGCAGGAGAGGCUGCCGAGGUCCCCCUUUCCUCUGGGGCUGCAGCAGCCCCAGGGGUCCCGGCUGCUCACCCCUGCACGCCCGGGCUGUAUUUCCUGGUCUUCCAGGGUGUGCCGGGGCUCUGCAGUGCUGGCUGAGGCGGCUGCCGCUGCUGGUGGGGGGAGUUGUUGAUGGCGACGCCCCGGCUGCCGGAGAGCAGGUAAUUCAUCCCAUAGGUGCUGGCUUUAUUCUCUCGUUUCCUACGGCCCGGGUGGUACUGGUGCUGCUGGGGAGACGCCGGCGGCGGCGGGUGGGGGCUGCGCGCCAGGUGCGGGGGCUGGUGGUGCCCGUUCACACCGUUCACUUUGUUCUCGUGGAAGUUAAAAAACUCCCCGGGUCCGGCCCCGCUGCCCAGCAGCCCGGGAGGAGCCACCGCCGCCGCCCGGGGGCCGCAGGAGGAAGAGGAGGAGCCGCCGCCUCCGCCGCCGCUGCACGAUCCCGAGGAGGAGAAGCCGGGGCUCUCGGUGCCGGACUCCACCGACGAGCAGGAGGACGAGGAAGACACGGAGGGCGACUUCUGCAGCCGCCGCGCUCCCUCGCCGCCGCCGUUCACCGCCGCGGGGCCGGCGGCGGCGGCGGGAACCAGUCCGGUCAGCAGGGCCGGCGGGGAAGGCGAAGGCGAAGGCGGCGAGGACGAGGAGCAGCAGGCGCCGCCGCCGGGCGCCCCGAGCCGCACGCAGCCGUGGCCGCGGGGCGGGGAGGCGGCGGCGGCGGAGUCCAGCGCCGGGGAGUUAAGGCAGAGGUAGUGCGGGAAGCUGGCGCCGCCCCGGCCCCCCACGCCCUGCGAGGUCUCCCAGAUCUGCAUCCACAGCGCAUUCGCGGGGCCUUUCUGCUCGGGCUGGAUCCAGGCCACGCGGGGAUCCAUCCACGCCCGCCCGGCUCCGACCCUCACGGCCCGGCCAGAGCGCCGCGCCGCCGCCCGCUCGCCGCGCACUCCCUCGCCUCAGCGCGCCGGGCCCGGCAGCGGCGCUAG
This 1020-nucleotide long non-coding RNA is filed under the name Otus sunia (Oriental scops-owl). RNAcentral describes it as "lncRNA (ENSOSUG00000012569.1)". The record is from RNAcentral. Lineage: Eukaryota; Metazoa; Chordata; Aves; Strigiformes; Strigidae.